GCUGGCGGCAGGCCUAACACAUGCAAGUCGAGCGGUAGCAUUUCUAGCUUGCUAGAAGAUGACGAGCGGCGGACGGGUGAGUAACGCGUAGGAAUCUACCUAUUGGUGGGGGAUAGCCCAGGGAAACUUGGAUUAAUACCGCAUAAGCUCUUAGGAGGAAAGCGGGGGAUCUUCGGACCUCGUGCCAAUAGAUGAGCCUGCGUAAGAUUAUGCUAGAUGGUGGGGUAAUGGCCUACCAUGGCGACGAUCUUUAGCUGGUCUGAGAGGAUGAUCAGCCACACUGGGACUGAGACACGGCCCAGACUCCUACGGGAGGCAGCAGUGGGGAAUAUUGCACAAUGGGCGCAAGCCUGAUGCAGCCAUGCCGCGUGUGUGAAGAAGGCCUUAGGGUUGUAAAGCACUUUCAGUGGGGAGGAAAGGUUAUAAGUUAAUACCUUAUAGCUGUGACGUUACCCACAGAAGAAGGACCGGCUAAUUCCGUGCCAGCAGCCGCGGUAAUACGGAAGGUCCGAGCGUUAAUCGGAAUUACUGGGCGUAAAGCGCACGUAGGCGGCUAGGUCAGUUGGGUGUGAAAGCCCCGGGCUCAACCUGGGAACUGCAUCCAAUACUGCCUGGCUAGAGUACGAGAGAGGG
Molecule: ribosomal RNA, 633 nt
Filed under: uncultured Gammaproteobacteria bacterium
Lineage: Bacteria; Pseudomonadati; Pseudomonadota; Gammaproteobacteria
Description: bacterial SSU rRNA
Rfam family: Bacterial small subunit ribosomal RNA
Source: RNAcentral